RNAcentral lists this transfer RNA (95 nucleotides) under Ornithinimicrobium tianjinense. RNAcentral describes it as "tRNA-Thr". The record is from RNAcentral. Lineage: Bacteria; Bacillati; Actinomycetota; Actinomycetes; Micrococcales; Ornithinimicrobiaceae.
GCCGCGAGAUGGCCUUCGAGGUCCGGGUGGUCGCCCGUGGCGACGCCGGCCGGGGGGUCUCGGCCGCCGACGUCCUGGAACCGUCGCUCGUGGCG